Dermacentor andersoni is the source of this 1645-nucleotide non-coding RNA. The record is from RefSeq and is a predicted model, not a curated record. NCBI's taxonomy places the organism in Eukaryota, Metazoa, Arthropoda, Arachnida, Ixodida, Ixodidae.
CAGCGUUCAGCAACGCAGUAACCGUUACUGCAUGUUGCAGCUUCAGUUUAGUCUUCGUCGUUUGUGCUAUUUCUGGGACAUGUAUGGCGCGUUCCGCAAGGGACGCAUUCUGUUACUCGUGAGCACGUUGUUACAACGCCGAGGGUCACGGAACAGCGUUCUGUUCACGAUGUGCGUUGAUGUGCGAAAUCGCCUUCUUUAUGAGCCAGUCAAAGUUGUCGAUGUGCCCUUACAAGCCAAAAACAUGCUGUCUGGAUCUUCCGAGGGGGCACCAUUCGCAACUCAGAUAAAGGGACUUCUGAAAACGCUUUUAUGUACAGCGGAGAAACUAUGGCAUCUCAUCGAAUCGAAAAGGGUAUGCUUACAGACCUGGUGCCACAACAUCUAAUAACGUGUCUUUGCAAACCGAAGAAAUAGAACCCGGAGCCCAAAUGUCACAACUACACGCGAAGAGGACCACUUGGCACAUCUCAUCCAUUUGAAGUGAAGCACGGGUACCGAGGUAUCCCUGAGACGCGGUUCGAUUGAAACUAAGGUCUCGCAAAGCGGUUUUGUUUCCAAUCCUCCUUAUGGCGCACCCACACACCUGUAUUCAAAAUUCUCUGUUAAGAGAAAAAGUUUUCCACCUCCUCGACAGCUCUUCCCACUACUCUACGCGAAAGGAGAAUAAUGCCUGUUCUCUGUGAGCUUCAGAAAUUUCACGAACAGGUAGCGCAGCUGGCGACCCCGACUAAGCGGCUACUCAAAAUAAGGAAAUUCAUUUAAUUUUUUCUUUGCUUGGUUAUGCUGGUCAAAUUGUUUGCUCUGUCUUUUCCUCACUUGUGCGCGCCCAUACACUUUCAUGAUUCAUUCAUGAUGCUUUCACACACUCAAAAUGCACAAAAUUAAGAACUGGACAUGAAGCAGAUCUACUUCUAGGUUGUGUUAGUAAAUGUCGAGGUGUAGUUCACAUGAAUCUACCCAUGCACAUGGGGGAACGCUUGUGUUGACAGAAAUGAGCUUAUAGCUUCCCCUCAUUGUUCACAUACUGCCGGUGAAGGGAUGUGAAGCAGUUGCAUCUCACGCACAGUGCACGCUGUUUCAAAGCUAUAGCAUUGCGAUUUUCUUUUUUUUUAUUUCUCGGGCACAUUAAGCUAACAUGUAAAAGCGUUAAGUGAAGCGUUACACAAGACCCACCUGUAUAAAUGUGUUAUACACAAGACGUACCUGCUAUUCGCAUUUAUUCUUUGUCAAAGAACCACCGUCUCUACUCUAUUUCACCAUCUCUUUCAUGUUUGACACGCACGCACAUCCGGUAACGCGCUGUUCCCGCUACCGUGCAGGAUUUAUACCCGUCAGCGAAACGGCCGCCUUCGUCUGUCGUUUCCCACCGCUCUCGCUCGCAUGCAUUAACAUCCCUGCCUUCUCACUUUAUUUCCUCUUCCCCGUUCGCCAUGCACGUGUAGAUUCCCAGCCCAGUCUACGAACGAUCAAGUCGCGUUUCGCGGGCGACAAAAUGCGCUCCAAAACCUGGAGCCCAAUACCUCGGUAUACAUCGCUCCGUCCCAAGCGUGUAUAACAUCUCAACGCAUCUAUCCAUGUACACGUCCCUUACAGCGAUGCACGACCCGCAGCGCGAAGGGCUAUACGGAGUCCUCCGACUCCC